CACGUCCUACGGGGCGCAGCAGUGGGGGAUAUUGCACAAUGGGGGGAACCCUGAUGCAGCGACGCCGCGUGGGUGAAGAAGCGCCUCGGCGCGUAAAGCCCUGUCAGCAGGGAAGAAAAUGACGGUACCUGAAGAAGAAGCCCCGGCUAACUACGUGCCAGCAGCCGCGGGAAUACGUAGGGGGCAAGCGUUAUCCGGAUUUACUGGGUGUAAAGGGGGCGCAGACGGCGAUGCAAGCCAGGAGUGAAAGCCCGGGGCCCAACCCCGGGGCUGCUUUU
RNAcentral lists this ribosomal RNA (278 nucleotides) under uncultured bacterium. RNAcentral's name for it is "partial 16S ribosomal RNA". It matches the Rfam family "Bacterial small subunit ribosomal RNA", at positions 333 to 628 of the family's 1533-position model. The record is from RNAcentral.